UAGUGGCGAACGGGUGAGUAACACGUGAGCAACCUGCCUUUCAGUGGGGGACAACAUUUGGAAACGAAUGCUAAUACCGCAUAAGACCACAGUGUCGCAUGGCACAGUGGCCAAAGGAGCAAUCCGCUGAAAGAUGGGCUCGCGUCCGAUUAGAUAGUUGGUGGGGUAAUGGCCUACCAAGUCGACGAUCGGUAGCCGGACUGAGAGGUUGAACGGCCACAUUGGGACUGAGACACGGCCCAGACUCCUACGGGAGGCAGCAGUGGGGAAUAUUGCACAAUGGGCGAAAGCCUGAUGCAGCGACGCCGCGUGAGGGAAGAAGGUUUUCGGAUUGUAAACCUCUGUCUUCGGGGACGAUAAUGACGGUACCCGAGGAGGAAGCCACGGCUAACUACGUGCCAGCAGCCGCGGUAAAACGUAGGUGGCAAGCGUUGUCCGGAAUUACUGGGUGUAAAGGGAGCGCAGGCGGGUUUGCAAGUUGAAUGUGAAAACUAUGGGCUCAACCCAUAGACUGCGUUCAAAACUGCAAGUCUUGAGUAAUGUAGAGGUAGGCGGAAUUCCCGGUGUAGCGGUGGAAUGCGUAGAUAUCGGGAGGAACACCAGUGGCGAAGGCGGCCUACUG
Molecule: ribosomal RNA, 622 nt
Filed under: uncultured Eubacteriales bacterium
Lineage: Bacteria; Bacillati; Bacillota; Clostridia; Eubacteriales
Description: bacterial SSU rRNA
Rfam family: Bacterial small subunit ribosomal RNA
Source: RNAcentral